CAAAGCACUUUGAAGAGAGAGUUAAAGAGGACGUGAAACCGGUAAGGUGGAAACGGAUAGAGUCGGCGUAUCAUUCAAUUAUUCAGUUACAUUAUUUUUAUGUUGUGACCUCUGAGCUCCAGAUUGGGACAGAGGGAAUCAGCAUAAUUUUUUGUGGUGCAUUUACUUGAUUGGUGCUUGGGGAUGUUUGAGGCAGAUUUGUUUCCGUCGUUUUGAGGCCAGCUUGCUGGUACCCAAACGGUGUUAGCAUUUUUUGUCUUGGGCAUUUGAGUAUGGCUCACGUGUAUUUAUUGGACAGAUCUGAGUGUAAGUUACGGUCGCAUGCGACACGUGCUUUUCAAUUAGUUCGGUCCAGUUAAUGCUCUCGUACUCGUUCCCCAUGUAAAAGCCGGUCAUCUAUCCGACCCGUCUUGAAACACGGACCAAGGAGUUUAUCGUGUGCGCAAGUUUUUGGGUGUUAAAAACUUAAAAGCGAAAUGAAAGUAAAUGACUCUUUAGAGUCUGAUGUGCGAUCUUGUAAAAAAGUGUAGCAUGGCCCCAUUCUAACUGUUUACAGUAGGGUGGCGGAAGAGCGUACACGGUGAGACCCGAAAGAUGGUGAACUAUUCCUGAGCAGGACGAAGCCAGAGGAAACUCUGGUGGAAGUCCGAAGCGGUUCUGACGUGCAAAUCGAUCGUCUGACUUGGGUAUAGGGGCGAAAGACUAAUCGAACCAUC
This 716-nucleotide ribosomal RNA is filed under the name Meloidogyne sp. DHR-2019. RNAcentral's name for it is "partial large subunit ribosomal RNA". It matches the Rfam family "Eukaryotic large subunit ribosomal RNA", at positions 367 to 944 of the family's 3401-position model. Lineage: Eukaryota; Metazoa; Nematoda; Chromadorea; Rhabditida; Meloidogynidae. The record is from RNAcentral.